This is a long non-coding RNA of Zea mays, 1243 nucleotides long. RefSeq lists it as uncharacterized. NCBI's taxonomy places the organism in Eukaryota, Viridiplantae, Streptophyta, Magnoliopsida, Poales, Poaceae. The record is from RefSeq and is a predicted model, not a curated record. The transcript is spliced from 3 exons.
UCUUCUGUGCGGAUAGUCUAACCACAUUUGACAAAUGCAGAUAUCAAAUCAAUAUAAAUUUCACGCAGCCCGCUAUCUUUCCCAGCUAAAAAUCCAUACACCCCGCUAUCUUUCCAGAUUUUUCCACAUGACUAUAUAACCCUAAACCUAACUUUCCCUUCAACAGACGCACGAACAUCCUCCUCGCCACCGCCGCCCUGUCACCCGCCUUGGCGCCGCUGGACCAGUCGUUCAUCUUGUCGCCGCAGCCCCAGCCAUCUGCCUCGAUGCCGCCACAACAGUCGUCUGCCUCGGCGCCCCAGCCGUCCUCCUCAUCAGUUUGCUCCUCGCUGCCUUGCCGUGAUCAAGAUGUCCCCUGGAAGGAUGGCUGGGGCAAGGACACGCACAGAUCUUGUUGGUGCUAAUUACUCAGUAUGAUAAGGAGAGGGCUUUAAAGGUGAUGAGGAACAACAAAAUGUUGAGCAGCCUUUGUAUAGCUGGAUUAACAUCACUUUUCGAUCAAGUAAUAAGGACUGACUCUCGCUUGUGAAGACUUUGAUCCAUUGUAUGAAUUUGAUCAUAAUGUGGACAAUGAUCAUCAUGUGGCUGAUAAGGACACAAUGAAGAAAGCACCUGUGGCUGAGCCUGGAGUAGAAGGAAAAGAAUCUAAGACCCCUAUAGAAGCAGUUGCUCAAGUGUUGGCUUCAUCAAAAUUUCUUCAAAAUAUUGGUCUUUACCUGCCACAAAUAAAAGCGGCAAUGGUGGUGAUCCUACAUGUGUGGCAGAGCUUGAAUCAGAGAAGCAAAACUCAUUAGAAGUUAGAGCUCAGUUAGAUGCCCUCAAGAAGAAGGUAGAAGAAUCAGAAAAAUCAAGGGUUUAAGGAGUUAUAAAAGAUUAAUGAUCUGCAAAAAGGAGCAGAUGAGACCAAUGCUCUCCAUCAUCUUCUCUUUAGCCUAAAUAAGUAGUUGGUCGAUUCAAUCUAAUGUGGCCCUGUUAUCUCAUAUUGCUAUGGCCCUGAUAUUGUUGUCCUUUCGGUACUGUACAUUGCACUCUACUUAAUGGUAGUUUGAUGAAAUAUGAUGCCAGUUUUGAGUUUGCUAUGUCCUUUUGGUACUGUCCUUAGCAAUGCCGGUGUCAUGAAACAUGAUGCUAGUUUUGAAAAUUGUGAAGGAUAUGAUUGCUGAUAAAUUAUACCUAUGAUAAUAUGUUGUUAAGUGUAUGUGAUAAUGUUUGAUAAUUAUUUAAUUACAAUGGAUUUUGCUUA